CGAACCUAGCCAGAGCCAGAUUUUGUAUAGGACCGUCGCCGCCUCCGGCCGACGAGGAUUGAGCUUCUCUGGUUGUCGUCAGGCUCGCAGGCCGCCGCCCUCCACGGAUCAAGGAACACCGGCCAGAUCCGCCAUCGAGAUGUGCAGCGCACACAUUGGGACCAAGCUCGCUACCCUGCAGCCUUGACGCGCCCAACACCGGCCACCUCGACCACUCCGCCUCCUCAAGUACAACCUCCACGCUCCACCACCACCUGCUGCCUGCAAGAUAUGACGCCUCUGUCUCUCAGCGACUUCCCCUGCGCUCACAAAAUCUCCCGUUCAGACGGUGGACCAUCGUUGCUCGCAUCGUCUUGAACAUCAGAUCCUUUCUCUUUGUCAUGAAGUUGGUUGGGGACGUUGGCCACAUGGAACUUCCAUUUGAAAUAUUAAAAGAUAUAAAUCAGUGGAUUUGAUGCCAUACCAUUCAUGUUCCGGCACUGUACCAACAAACAUUGAGAUUUAACAUCUCAUCAUAUGAAGACAUGGAUUUCUUAUUAAAAGUGCAUUCACGCUCUGUCAUUUAACAUGGUGUGUGGGUAUAUCAUUGACAACGACUGGUUGCUUUCUGUUGGAAAAGUAAUCCAUCUCUACACUAUAGUUGAUGUGGUUGGUAUAAGUUUGCAAGGAAAGGUGUUGAGCUUGAUACGAGAUGUGUAGUUUGCAACAGGUAUUUUGAAGAUGGUGGUCAACUUUUUUUUUCUGUUGCAUUGAAGUUAAAAAGAACCAGCCUCUCUACAUUGCACUUUGCAGGGGUAAGACUAGGUUCCUAUAAUCCCUCCCCAUACCCCACCUUGUGUGAGAGCUUCUAUGCACUGGGUUUGUCCUUUUUGAAGUUAAAAAGAGAUUGAGAACCUUAUCCUUGGAACAUGUCUGAUAAAUGCUUGCGAACUGUCUCUAAGCUGUUGAUGUUCUGAUCGCUGUCCUCACUCUCCCAAAGGACCAACAACUGACUAUUAUUUGUUUGCUCUGGAGCUGGUGGGUGGAGAGAAACAAAGUAAAUCAUGGUGCUAAGGUGAAUUCAGAGAUGGAUUUUGCAUACAGAAUCGAUAAAGUACCGGUGAUUGGAAGGAGUUUUAUGCACAGGAAAAGGAGACAAGUGUCCAGGGCCCAUCUUGGUGUGCACUAGAGGAGGGAGUAAUAAAGAUUAAUCUUGAUGCUCCUUUUGAUGCUGAAUUCCAUAGAGGAUGAGGCCGGCUGCCUAGGACGUGAUGCUGGAGGCCAGAUUAUCUUUGCUGCAUCAGGUACCAGCGUCCACCCUUUGCAUGUUGAAUGUUUCUUGCUUCUUCAGGGAAUCAGACUGGCAGAACAGAUGGGCAUGGGCCAUGUUAUCCUUGAAACGGAUUGCCUGAAUCUCCAAAAUGCCAUUACCAGCAAUGUGUUCGAUGAUGAUGCGCAGGUCCUGUUUUAAGAUGUCUGAUGUCUAAUCCUGCUCAAUUUCCUCUCUUAUGAUGUAA
This is a long non-coding RNA of Triticum aestivum (bread wheat), 1496 nucleotides long. RefSeq lists it as uncharacterized. The transcript is spliced from 3 exons. NCBI's taxonomy places the organism in Eukaryota, Viridiplantae, Streptophyta, Magnoliopsida, Poales, Poaceae. The record is from RefSeq and is a predicted model, not a curated record.